This is a long non-coding RNA of Calliphora vicina (urban bluebottle blowfly), 561 nucleotides long. RefSeq lists it as uncharacterized. The record is from RefSeq and is a predicted model, not a curated record. The transcript has 2 exons. Lineage: Eukaryota; Metazoa; Arthropoda; Insecta; Diptera; Calliphoridae.
CUAAACUUAACAUAAAGUUCAUUGGAAAUUUUUCAAAAACAAAAAACAUGAAAUACCUAAUACUCUUAGCUUUACUCACCUUUGCCUGCUUAACCUAUGGCAAAAUUGUGCACAUACCCACCGCCCUGCCACCUCAUAAAUGUGCUUUCAGUUGUUCACAAUCGGAUAUAACACUUUGCGCCACCAAUGGCCAGUGUAAGCAGGAAUUUCAAGGAGAAUGCCUAAUGAGUGCUUACAAUUGUGAACAUCCUCAUAAACCGUUUGUUAUCAUUGAAGAUUGGAAGUGCAAACAGAGUGGUGCCUCAAAAUGUUCACAAUUCGAGAUGGAACUUUACUAAAGGAAGUCAGACAACAACAAACAAAUAACCAGCAAAGCCAACCCAACCCCCUCAUACAAGAGGCAAACAAAAAAAGAAAAGUUACUUUAUGCAAAUUUAAAUUAAUUAGACAAUCUCUGUGUAAUGUGUUUUGUGACACAAACUGUACAUGUUUAGUUUCAUCAGAGUGAUAUCUAUUUACUUGGAGUAUGUUUUUAAUAAAAGCUUAAAGCAUAAUUUAAGA